RNAcentral lists this ribosomal RNA (208 nucleotides) under uncultured bacterium. Its description in RNAcentral is "partial 16S ribosomal RNA". It matches the Rfam family "Bacterial small subunit ribosomal RNA", at positions 568 to 775 of the family's 1533-position model. The record is from RNAcentral.
UGCGUAGGCGGGUCUUUAAGUCAGGGGUGAAAUCCUGGAGCUCAACUCCAGAACUGCCUUUGAUACUGAAGAUCUUGAGUUCGGGAGAGGUGAGUGGAACUGCGAGUGUAGAGGUGAAAUUCGUAGAUAUUCGCAAGAACACCAGUGGCGAAGGCGGCUCACUGGCCCGAUACUGACGCUGAGGCACGAAAAGCGUGGGAGCAAACCA